Vidua chalybeata is the source of this 787-nucleotide long non-coding RNA. RefSeq lists it as uncharacterized. The record is from RefSeq and is a predicted model, not a curated record. NCBI's taxonomy places the organism in Eukaryota, Metazoa, Chordata, Aves, Passeriformes, Viduidae. The transcript is spliced from 2 exons.
UCCCUUCUCCUGCCCUCCCGCACCGGCCCGCCGAGGCAGCCGUGCGGAUAUCGCCGGCCCUGGCAGCAGCGCAGCGGCGGAGCCUUCUCAGCGCCAGCUGACGGUCCCCCCGGGAAGUCCUGGGAGGGCAACUUGAGAUGCUCCUAGCGCGAACUCUCCUCUCUGCCCGCCCCGGUCUGCCACUGCCUGGAGGAAGGCAAGCUCGUGCUUUGUCGGGGGUCUCCGAGGAGCAGCUGUAAAACCCCCAAAAAACACUCCGGUGCUGGCCGUCCCAAUCACCACACCCCAAGCGCUGAGCUCUCCCUCCCACCUCGUUGGCUGCCAAAUCCCGUAACAACGCGCAUAACGAUGAGCAAACCGGUGCCAGGACAAAGGCCCGGCUCUCAGGACCUGGAGCUUAGAAGAUGACACGGUGAGACUGAACAUGUGAACUCCCAGUUCAUUUACAUGAGUGCUGUGGCCUCGUAAGACAAAGAGACUUCCCCAGCCAGCCCUGAAAACAGCUGUGAAGCACCAACCUUCCAGAUCUGGUCUGACAUCCUUCCCUGGCGAGCAGUCCUUGCCACGCUAGCCCGAGCCCAUCAGACACACCGGCAGCUACAGAGGUGAGGAAUGACUUCUGUCCUCAGUGACUGAUACAUUGCAAGAUCAAGGGCUGCAGGCAGAUGAAGAGCACAAGAAAUGCUCCAGCUGACCUCACUUUCCAAAACGCAUCAUUCCUUCAAAUAAACGUCACUAAACACCAGCAGGCAGGCGAAUGACAGAAUUAAAACAUAACCCUGCAUUA